RNAcentral lists this ribosomal RNA (253 nucleotides) under uncultured bacterium. RNAcentral describes it as "partial 16S ribosomal RNA". It matches the Rfam family "Bacterial small subunit ribosomal RNA", at positions 524 to 776 of the family's 1533-position model. The record is from RNAcentral.
UACAGAGGGUGCGAGCGUUAAUCGGAAUUACUGGGCGUAAAGCGCACGUAGGCGGCGACGUAAGUCGGGUGUGAAAGCCCCGGGCUCAACCAUGGAAGUGCAUUCGAAACUGCAGAGCUAGAGUCCUGGAGAGGAAGGUGGAAUGCUUGGUGUAGAGGUGAAAUUCGUAGAUAUCAAGCGGAACACCGGUGGCGAAGGCGGCCUUCUGGACAGUGACUGACGCUGAGACGCGAAAGCGUGGGGAGCAAACAGG